Salvelinus sp. IW2-2015 is the source of this 423-nucleotide long non-coding RNA. RefSeq lists it as uncharacterized. The record is from RefSeq and is a predicted model, not a curated record. NCBI's taxonomy places the organism in Eukaryota, Metazoa, Chordata, Actinopteri, Salmoniformes, Salmonidae.
ACACAAGCAUUUCGCUACACCUGUAAUAACAUCUUCUAAAAAUGUGUAUGUGACCAAUAAAAUGAGAUUUGAUAGCAUAGAACAUGUCCCAGGUGAGGUUUCAUGUACAGGGCAGCAACAAGUGCAGUGUAAGUGUGGGGUCUUGACCAUACGGAGGAAGGAAUGGAGAGUACCAGGCUGGCUGCACCAGUAAAGUUCAUCAUGAUGUGUCUUCUGCCCCGGGAUGGGGGGCCCAUGUGGUGAUAGAACAUCCCAGAUAUUCACACCCAACCCGGAACAUCUGUCUGUGUCAGUACUCCUGAGGGUUUGGCAGCUUCCUCCCUGGGCUCUGGUGACAGCUGCCUGCAGGGUGUGAAACCAGGGGGUGGUGGGUGUCACUCACUGACACCMCUCAUCAUAAUCACCUGCAUAAAUUAAAAGGUA